This 620-nucleotide long non-coding RNA is filed under the name Cricetulus griseus (Chinese hamster). RNAcentral describes it as "lncRNA (ENSCGRG00015031937.1)". Lineage: Eukaryota; Metazoa; Chordata; Mammalia; Rodentia; Cricetidae. The record is from RNAcentral.
CCUCAAAGCAGGGUAAUCUGACUAUGAUUUCAAGUCCUUGGCACUCUCCCCUCAAGACAGCCGAGCCAAGAACCUGUAAUGCCUGCUUCACAAAUGAGUGCCCAGAAAUUUCUGUAUUAGGAGACAACCAUGCAUUGGAUUCCCACUGGCUUCCAGGUCCUGAGCAAGGAGUUCUAGUUUCAUUUAAGGACAACCUUCCACUUUUCUGGGAGGACCAUCCGGAUGUGGCAGGAGAGCUCCAGUGGUGGGGAAUUCACCCAGAAGUUCUAUAGAUGCCAUGUCACAGGCUGGGUGCUCUGCUCGUCUGGAAAUAUUCUAUGUCCCAAGAGUCUACAUCUAGGACUUCUGGUGUCUGCUAGUCUUCACAGCUUUAGCCAAAGAAGGAGACCACAUGAAGAGAAAUGCCUGGGCCUGUGAGGACUGUUGGUGCCCUGAAGCCCUUGUUAUUGGCAGCAUGUCACAAACAAGUCCAUAAAACAACUGAGUCUCCAUCUUAGAAUCUCAAAACGUGUCCACAGGGACACAGUGGGCUCCAAUGGCUAGCUAAUUACCACCAAUCUCCAGUCCACACGAUAUCUAACCAAGGUCACAUUCCUCCUUCUUCAACCUCAGGAUCUCCC